UAUGAUAAAAGACAAUGCACUCAUAUAAUUCCAAAAAAACGGCUUGGAAGUCUCUACGCGGUAGCCAAAUAUCGUACUAUGGGUUGAUCUUUUAAUUUU
This 99-nucleotide non-coding RNA is filed under the name Clostridiales bacterium. Its description in RNAcentral is "Guanine sequence". It matches the Rfam family "Purine riboswitch aptamer". Rfam says of the family: Riboswitches are metabolite binding domains within certain messenger RNAs that serve as precision sensors for their corresponding targets. Allosteric rearrangement of mRNA structure is mediated by ligand binding, and this results in modulation of gene expression. Lineage: Bacteria; Bacillati; Bacillota; Clostridia; Eubacteriales. The record is from RNAcentral.